This 1134-nucleotide ribosomal RNA is filed under the name uncultured organism. Its description in RNAcentral is "bacterial SSU rRNA". It matches the Rfam family "Bacterial small subunit ribosomal RNA", at positions 306 to 1469 of the family's 1533-position model. The record is from RNAcentral.
CCCCACAAUGGGACUGAAACACGGCCCAUACUCCUACGGGAGGCAGCAGCAGGGAAUAUUGCACAAUAGGCGAAAGCCUGAUGCAGCGACGCCGCGUGAGUGAAGAAGGCCUUCGGGUCGUAAAGCUCUUUUGUAGGGGACGAGGAAGGACGGUACCCUAAGAAGAAGCGUCGGCUAACUACGUGCCAGCAGCCGCGGUAAGACGUAGGACGCGAGCGUUAUCCGGAAUUACUGGGCGUAAAGGGCCAGCAGGCGGCUUGGUAAGUUGUGCGUGAAAGCCUCGUGCUCAACGCGAGGAAGCCGGACAAUACUGUCAAGCUAGAGGGCAUCAGAGGGGAGUGGAAUUCCCGGAGUAGCGGUAGAAUGCGCAGAUAUCGGGAGGAACACCGAUGGCGAAGGCAGCUCCCUGGGAUGCACCUGACGCUAAGAGGCGAAAGCUAGGGGAGCGAACAGGAUUAGAGACCCUGGUAGUCCUAGCUGUAAACGCUGGGUGCUAGGUGUGGGACGUAGAAGUUCCGUGCCGGAGCAAACGCGAUAAGCACCCCGCCUGGGAAUUACGGUCGCAAGGCUAAAACUCAAACGAAUUGACGGGGUCCCGCACAAGCAGCGGAGCGUGUGGUUCAAUUCGAUGCUACACGAAGAACCUUACCUGGGUUUGACAUGUACGUGGUACGAAGGCGAAAGCCUAAGGACCCUUCGGGGAGCGUACACAGGUGCUGCAUGGCUGUCGUCAGCUCGUGCCGUGAGGUGUCGGGUUAAGUCCCGUAACGAGCGCAACCCUUGCCCUUAGUUACAAGUGUCUAAGGGGACUGCCGGCGGGAAGCCGGAGGAAGGUGGGGAUGACGUCGAGUCAGCAUGGCCCUUAUGUCCAGGGCUACACACACGCUACAAUGGUCAGUACAAAGGGUAGCGAAGUCGCGAGGCGGAGCGAAUCUCAACAAAGCUGAUCGUAGUUCGGAUUGCAGGCUGCAACCCGCCUGCAUGAAGCUGGAGUUGCUAGUAACCGCGCGUCAGCCAUAGUGCGGUGAAUACGUACCCGGGGCUUGUACACACCGCCCGUCACGUCAUGGGAGUCGGUAACGCCUGAAGCCGGUAGUCUGGCCCGCAAGGGGGGACGCUGUCGAAGGCGGGACU